Halichondria panicea is the source of this 3237-nucleotide long non-coding RNA. RefSeq lists it as uncharacterized. The transcript is spliced from 4 exons. NCBI's taxonomy places the organism in Eukaryota, Metazoa, Porifera, Demospongiae, Suberitida, Halichondriidae. The record is from RefSeq and is a predicted model, not a curated record.
ACCUCAAAAUUAUCAGUCAACAGUGGGGUACAUACAUGCAUUGUGCUGUUUGGAAUUAGGAAUGAAACAAACUCAAUUUACUGGAUCAGAUACAAUGAUCUCAGAUUAUCAACUAAUGGUAUGCAUGCCUUAUAUAGGGCGUAUUAUAGAUCUAUAUACUGUUUGGAAUGAGGGAUAAAACAAACUCUAUUUUAAUACUGACAAUGAAUGAAAGCACCGCAGGUGCUGAGGUCUCGGUGGAUGUGCCAAACCUACAUAACAUAAAGCUACUAGCAGUUAAUAUGUAGCCUUGACACAUCCACCGAGGCAUCAGCACCCGCAUGCAUGUGUAUACUCCCCGGCAGUUGAAGGACAGCCUAAUACACCAGCUGGUCCUGUUUAUGAAGAGUUUCAAAGAGGAAUUCUCAACACUAACACCAAUUAAGCUUAUAUGCGGACAAGUAAAUAAAUAUUUUUUAUCAUUUAGUUUAUGCAUUGCUAUAAUGAGAACAUGCAUAAUUAUUGCAAUAUUGGUAAAAACAACUAUGUUUGUUUUUAUAACCCUUCUCUGUUACAAUUGAUGACGACAUCAUUAUCACAUGCAAGUAUGCUGGAUGACUUGAAUGAUGGUAUAUUAGUCACUUAACUGUAACAUUAAAGUACAUGCAGUCACAUGACAGGAUAUUUGGUUGUAGAUCACAUGAUCAGUAAUUAUCAACUGUCCUCACUUCUGGAAGAUCAUGACAGAGACAGUUUAUUUUAUUUUAUAAUAAUUCAGCAUAUAGCAUAGGAUAUACACAAUUAGCUAGUAGCUAGAUGUAUAAAGUUCAUCCUAAAGAAAAUAUUUAAACACAUUGACAGUAACAAUAUCGUCUAUAUUGUACUUACUAACAAGUUUAUUCCAUAAAGUUACAGCGUGUGGGAAGAAUGAGUAUUGGUACAUUGAAGUUCGAAAUCUAAUUGGUACCAGGGAGAGCCCAUUAACUGAACAGCUAUUGUAGAUAAUCUCUCUUCUUUCAACCGGUGGGUUGGGAAAGUCUAUCAUGUCAUGUAAAAUUUUGUACAAGUGGCACAUUCUUGCAACUACUCUUCUUGUCUCCAGACUUGUAAGGCCAGAUGCUGACAGCAGUUCUCCCUGCCACUGACCCAGACACACUCUCAUGGCAAAUCUCUGUACUUUUUCCAGGUUUUCUAUAUGGAAAUGUAUUACUAGUUACACUAUAGACAUUAAAGGCUAUAGUCUAGGUCGACUCUGUAUGUUACAAUUCAGUAACUAAUACCAUUCAAUAGUGAAGGCUACAAAACGUCACAAUUAUAGCAAUUAAUGGUUGCAUGCAGGUAUGAUACCGUUUGUGCUGGGUGGUUUGACACGUGACUACACUGGGACUUCCUGUGUUGGAGAUGUGGUCUCACCCACUUGCACACUGUCUGUGUCUGUGAUUGAUGGUGCUCUGUUGGAAUGGGAUGUGCCUGAUGCAACUAGGGAGAUAAGACUUAGUAGUACGACCCUACUACCAAUCCUACAAGAUCAGUACACAGUCAUAUCAGCGAUAUUUGAUUCCACAAGUUCAAUGAUCACCUCCAGUUUGCGUUUCCCUGCAGCACAGGAUACCACUAUUGGUUGCUUUCCUGUGUUACAGGUGGAGUUGAGGGAAGAACUCACUAUAAUGACAGCAAUUUCUACUUCACCACCAACUGGGUUUAUAGUAUCUCCACUUUGAGCAGCUCAGCCAAUGAUGUUAAUGUAUCUGUUGGUUGGGACCCUCCUACUGAGACUGGUGGUAGAGAUGACCUCACCUAUAUACAGUGACCAUCUCACCUCCGGCCCAGCUCUCUGCAACUGUCCUCACAUCCACCUCUGUCACUGUGAUUGCUCAAUACAAUAUGGACUACACUGUCAGUGUUGUGGCUACCAAUUGUGCUGGGAACAGUAUACAAUCGCUGAGUACAACUUCAGAAUUGGAACGUGAUUUGCAUAGCAAUUUUGUGGAUAGUUCCCUAGCUCUCAUGCAGGUGGCUGUCCUGUUCUGAAAGGCCCAUGAAUGGAGCCUUUGGACCAGUCUCCAGCAGAUUGCCAGGAUCAACAAUAACUAUUCAGUGUGACGCUGGGUAUGUAUCUGUUGUUACGAUGGUGACAUGUGAGGGUACACUGAUAUGGAGUCCGAAUCCUGACACUUUUGAGUGUAGAUUACUAAUCACCUCGUCUCCUCCCACACCUCCCCCUCCAAUGAACUGCAAGGCUCCACUAUCCCCACCACAUAAUGGCACCAUCAGUGAUCAUUCGUGCUAGAUCAGUACCAACUCUACCCGGUACACAAGUGACCUUCGAAUUCCAGUGUGACAAUGGACUCUUUCCUGAGGAGAUAAUGAGUGCCACCUGUCUAACUACAGGAGAGUGGGACAAUAAACCAGGGGAGAUCGUCUGCAGAAAUGAAUCUAUUUCCUGUAUCCUGCCUGCCCCCUCCACUCAAUGGAGCAUUACUCAUUAACUUGUAGAACAUUAACUCAAUCGUGGGCUCUGUCCUUACCAUCCAAUGUGAUCCUGAUUUCUUACUGGUGGGUGCAGCGACUUCACUUGUAACAACUCUGGUCUCUGGGAUCCUGACCUGGCUCUAUUGGAGUGUAUAAGUUCAUUGCCUCAAUAAUUAUCUACAUGCAUGCCAUGCCCCUAUAUAUAAUACACAAUACAUGCAGAUAUGGCAAAAACUGGUGGAAACGUUGCUGCUCUAGCUGGAGAUUUUGUCGGUGCUAUAGUGGUAGUACUGAUUGUCUUGGUGCUGAUAGUUCUCUUAUUAACUAUCACCAAACAAACUAAAAGUGAGGGCAACUAACGGGUGCACAAAAUCACACUUAUGUUGUACACUUAUAUAUGUUGUACAUGCAUGAUUUGGUCGCUCAACAGAAAGCGAACUGUCAGGCAAUGAAGUUUCAAUAGCCCCAGCUGGUCCAGUAUAUAUGAGGAAGUUGGUCUAGCAACAGCACAAAGAGUACAAGACAUUCAAGUGGAGUCUAAUGAAGCUUAUGGACAAGUGAGAAAAUGGAAGUAAUAAAGAUUUGCUUGUCCUACCCUAGACGGCAAAGCAAAACAUUGAGUUGAAGUUUAACCAGGCAUGGAGAAAUCAGAUACAUGAGUAGCUAGUGAUGGAACGUAUAUUCGACGACGUUUGUUUAUCAAUAAUUAUGGUGCCAUUGUAUUGUCAACAGCUUUCACUGUUAUUUUUGAAUGUAUCCUUAUGAACACAACAUCUGCAUGGUUCU